GAUGAACGCUGGCGGCGUGCUUAACACAUGCAAGUCGAACGGGAAAUAUUUCAUUGAGACUUCGGUGGAUUUGAUCUAUUUCUAGUGGCGGACGGGUGAGUAACGCGUGGGUAACCUGCCUUAUACAGGGGGAUAACAGUCAGAAAUGGCUGCUAAUACCGCAUAAGCGCACAGAGCUGCAUGGCUCAGUGUGAAAAACUCCGGUGGUAUAAGAUGGACCCGCGUUGGAUUAGCUAGUUGGUGGGGUAACGGCCCACCAAGGCGACGAUCCAUAGCCGGCCUGAGAGGGUGAACGGCCACAUUGGGACUGAGACACGGCCCAGACUCCUACGGGAGGCAGCAGUGGGGAAUAUUGCACAAUGGGGGAAACCCUGAUGCAGCGACGCCGCGUGAAGGAAGAAGUAUCUCGGUAUGUAAACUUCUAUCAGCAGGGAAGAUAGUGACGGUACCUGACUAAGAAGCCCCGGCUAACUACGUGCCAGCAGCCGCGGUAAUACGUAGGGGGCAAGCGUUAUCCGGAUUUACUGGGUGUAAAGGGAGCGUAGACGGUGUGGCAAGUCUGAUGUGAAAGGCAUGGGCUCAACCUGUGGACUGCAUUGGAAACUGUCAUACUUGAGUGCCGGAGGGGUAAGCGGAAUUCCUAGUGUAGCGGUGAAAUGCGUAGAUAUUAGGAGGAACACCAGUGGCGAAGGCGGCUUACUGGA
This 704-nucleotide ribosomal RNA is filed under the name uncultured Lachnospiraceae bacterium. RNAcentral's name for it is "bacterial SSU rRNA". It matches the Rfam family "Bacterial small subunit ribosomal RNA", at positions 28 to 733 of the family's 1533-position model. Lineage: Bacteria; Bacillati; Bacillota; Clostridia; Lachnospirales; Lachnospiraceae. The record is from RNAcentral.